CGUAUGGUAGUGCAUGCGAGUUCUCAUUGGAAUUAACUCAACCAAUGUAGGUUAUGAAGCAUCACAGAGAGUUCUAGUAAGGUAGACAAACAGGUCAAUAAUUGACAAUUGUGUGUAGGUAGGGCAGACUACCUGGAGCAGAUAUCAACCGCUGGCGCGUCUUUAGCACAGGUGUAUGGAGGGUGGCAUUUUCUCUCUGCGAAGAUUAUUGAAGCCAUUUCCUGUUUGGGGAGAAGGUGCUCGCGCCGUCCCUCUCGCCGGCCAUGUCGGCUUUGACAGCAUGCCCGACCAGCUGGUCAACAAGUCUGUCAACCACGGCUUUUGCUUCAACAUCCUCUGCGUUGGGGAGACGGGCCUGGGCAAGUCCACUCUCAUGGACACCCUGUUCAACACCAAGUUCGAGGGCGAACCCACCCAGCACAACCAGCCGGGCGUGCAGCUCAAGUCCAACACCUACGAGCUCCAGGAGAGCAAUGUGCGCCUCAAGCUGACCGUGGUCAACACUGUGGGCUUCGGUGACCAGAUCAACAAAGAGGACAGCUACAAGUCUAUUGUGGAGUUUAUCGACACCCAGUUUGAGGCCUAUCUGCAGGAGGAGCUGAAAAUCAAGCGCACGUUACACAGCUACCACGACACACGCAUCCACGCCUGCCUGUACUUCAUCGCGCCCACCGGACACUCCCUCAAGUCCCUGGACCUGGUCACUAUGAAGAAACUGGACAGCAAGGUCAACAUCAUCCCCAUCAUCGCCAAAUCAGACGCCAUCUCCAAAAGCGAGCUGACCAAGUUCAAGAUCAAGAUCACCAGUGAGCUGGUCAGCAACGGUGUUCUGAUCUACCAGUUCCCCAUCGACGACGAGACGGUGGCAGAGAUCAACUCCACCAUGAACGCCCAUUUGCCGUUCGCCGUGGUGGGAAGCACGGAGGAAGUGAAGAUCGGCAACAAGAUGGUGAAAGCGCGGCAGUACCCCUGGGGGACGGUACAGGUGGAGAAUGAGAACCACUGUGACUUUGUGAAGCUGAGAGAGAUGCUAAUCAGGGUGAACAUGGAGGAUCUUAGAGAGCAGACUCACACCAGACACUACGAGCUCUACCGUCGCUGCAAGCUGGAGGAGAUGGGCUUCAAGGACACAGACCCUGACUGCAAACCUUUCAGUCUGCAGGAGACGUACGAGGCCAAGAGGAAUGAGUUCAUGGGAGACCUGCAGAAGAAAGAGGAAGAGAUGAGGCAAAUGUUCGUCCAGCGAGUCAAGGAAAAGGAGGCUGAGCUGAAGGAGGCCGAGAAAGAGCUGCACGAGAAGUUUGACCGGCUCAAGAAGCUGCACCAGGAUGAGAAGAAGAAGCUGGAGGACAAGAAGAAAUCCCUGGAUGACGAGCUCAAUGGCUUCAAGCAGAAAAAGACGGCCGCUGAGCUCCUGCAGUCCCAGGCUCUGCAGGCAGGGGGCUCCACCACACUCAAGAGGGACAAGGAGAGGAAAAACUGAUGUGAGCCCUGUCACCGGACCCGUUAGAAAGAAUGAAGACACUUGCACUGAGAAAGUUAACUCCUCCACUUGCUGCAUGCUGCAUGAGGCAUCUUGUCCUGCUUCUUUUAAUCUGUCUUGCCCACCUGUCUGAAGAGGGGAUUGCAGCUUCAGCGAGAACGAAGCACCCGUUUCCUCUUCCUGUCUUUUCUCUCUGCAUCAACCUUUUUUAACUUCUAUCUCAUCUGCUUUGUUGACCAUGGCCUAAUGUGGGCUUCACAUGGUAUUUUUUGGAUAGUUAAGUUUUGUCACCUAAUCAAGGUACACUUUGGCUAGUGGGAGACCUUCACUCUUAAUAUUUUGCAGCUCCGUCUUGGUGUAUGAAUGAACGAAGCUUUGCUCAGGUAGGAUUCUAAACGGUUGUUCAAGAGAAACACAUCUAAUCAAUAGUUUCAUCAUACCAAUUGUAACAGAGCCAAGGCUCUGGAUUCAUUUAUAUUUUGCACAAAACUAUCUGAAUUUCAUUGACAGUUAAUUUUAAGGAAGUCUUUAUGUAAUAACAUUCAAUCAUAUUUUACGUCCAUUUUGAGAAGGGCUCAUUCUGUUUGAAAUAACCAGUACUAUUACAAAUAGCCUAUAUGAUUAAUGUGCUGCUCAUUCAAAGGGGGAGUUAGUUCUGAAUACAAAUGGCAGAACCCAGAUCUCAAUAAAACACUGAUAAAACCAAUACACAUUAAUUUGGUGAUUGAUAGAGAAAAGUGUGACAUCUAACCUUACAUGUGUGACUAGUAGAUACUUUUGUCAGUUAAAAACCAAAAGACAAUUGCCAUCCAAAACAGUGUUCUUUAUGUUCACUGAAUAGGUUGUCUCAUUUCAACUUAGAAGCGCCAAAGCCGUAUUCAUGUCAAGCACUUAUUUAGUGAAAACGCCUUUUCCGUACUGAAAUACCAUGUAGGUCACAUUUAAUGCCCUUUACACAUUGUGCUUUAACUACCAUCACCCUAUUCUGUAUUUUGCAUGUCUAAUGCUCUUUUAUUUCAUCACUUCUGUGAUCUUGACCUUUUGCUCCCGUAGCUGUUUUCUCCCCUAACAGUUUCGUUUUGCACUAUUUCACAUUUGGUGCUCUAUAUUGUUUGGAUCAGAUUUAUCUUGUGUAUUACUCCUUGUUAUACCCUUCUCCACAAUUUUCAGCAUCCAUAUUGCCAAAUAUUACAAUGAGAUGGAGUUGAAUCCUAGGUACAGAUGGAUACAUUUGUAUAAUUUAUAAGGAUAUAUUUUGUGUAUUGAAGUGGAGACCUGUUUAUGAGAUAUGAUCUUUGGAUGUGACUCUUCUCUCUGUAGUUACAUUUUGGUGUAAGAAAUUGCCAUACAUUUUUCUAGCAUCUGCCAUAAUCACCCCUCCUAGUGAAUUAGCUGUCCACCCUUCAAAUUAAUUAUGAAAUAUUUUAUUGUAGUUUGAUUCCAUUGAUGUACUUUUUCAAUAAAAUGAUGAAAAUAAA
This is an RNA transcript of Salmo salar (Atlantic salmon), 2961 nucleotides long. It is a transcript of the gene named septin-6, with no coding region annotated. Lineage: Eukaryota; Metazoa; Chordata; Actinopteri; Salmoniformes; Salmonidae. The record is from RefSeq and is a predicted model, not a curated record.